GCUGGUAGUUAGGAAUUAAAAUUUACAUAGCAUAUAAUAUAUGUAUAUGUUUAGGAUGUGCUUGAGAUCUAAGUCCCUCAUUCAAAUUAUAUUAAGUCAUAAUGGUGAAGUGUUGAGAACACUAUCCAUGCCUUCUUUCAUGCUAAGACUUUAUUAUUUCUAGAACCAUAGUAGGCUUGUUGUACUAUCCAUCAGGCUUGCUAUCGG
Molecule: long non-coding RNA, 207 nt
Filed under: Elaeis guineensis (African oil palm)
Lineage: Eukaryota; Viridiplantae; Streptophyta; Magnoliopsida; Arecales; Arecaceae
Description: long non-coding RNA (EGUI_LNC049539)
Source: RNAcentral